CCUACGGGUGGCAGCAGUGAGGAAUAUUGGUCAAUGGCCGGAAGGCUGAACCAGCCAUGCCGCGUGAAGGUCAGUGCCCUAUGGGCGUUAAACUUCUUUUGUGCGGGAGCAAUAAUGGUCACGUGUGGCCAGACGAGAGUACCGUACGAAUAAGCAUCGGCUAACUCCGUGCCAGCAGCCGCGGUAAUACGGGGGAUGCAAGCGUUAUCCGGAUUUAUUGGGUUUAAAGGGUGCGUAGGCUGUGAGGUAAGUCAGCGGUGAAAUGCCCCCGCUCAACGGGGUGAAGUGCCAUUGAUACUGCCUUGCUGGAAUGCGGAUGCCGUGGGAGGAAUGUGUGGUGUAGCGGUGAAAUGCUUAGAUAUCACGAAGAACUCCGAUUGCGAAGGCAGCUUACUAAACUGCCACUGACAUUGAUGCUCGAAAGUGUGGGUAUCAAACAGGAUUAGAUACCCGAGUAGUC
RNAcentral lists this ribosomal RNA (460 nucleotides) under uncultured bacterium. RNAcentral's name for it is "partial 16S ribosomal RNA". It matches the Rfam family "Bacterial small subunit ribosomal RNA", at positions 338 to 795 of the family's 1533-position model. The record is from RNAcentral.